Molecule: small nucleolar RNA, 131 nt
Filed under: Mola mola (ocean sunfish)
Lineage: Eukaryota; Metazoa; Chordata; Actinopteri; Tetraodontiformes; Molidae
Description: Small nucleolar RNA ACA64 (ENSMMOG00000019221.1)
Rfam family: Small nucleolar RNA ACA64
Source: Rfam by way of RNAcentral
ACAGACUGAAAAUGAACCCGGGUCAGUCGGUGGUCCGGGCUCAGACACCUGUGCCCACAGAACUGUGGUGCGUUAAGCUUAUCGUGUGUGUCUCUGGGUGUCCGCGCGAUAAAACCCAUGUACCAACAUGU